RNAcentral lists this ribosomal RNA (292 nucleotides) under uncultured bacterium. Its description in RNAcentral is "partial 16S ribosomal RNA". It matches the Rfam family "Bacterial small subunit ribosomal RNA", at positions 775 to 1067 of the family's 1533-position model. The record is from RNAcentral.
GGAUUAGAUACCCUGGUAGUCCACGCUGUAAACGAUGAGAACUAGCUGUUGGCCCUGUUGGGGAUUAGUAGCGCAGUUAACGCGAUAAGUUCUCCGCCUGGGGAGUACGGCCGCAAGGUUAAAACUCAAAUGAAUUGACGGGGGCCCGCACAAGCGGUGGAGCAUGUGGUUUAAUUCGAUGCAACGCGAAGAACCUUACCUACCCUUGACAUCCUGCGAAUCUUUCAGAGAUGAGAGAGUGCCUUCGGGAAUGCAGAGACAGGUGCUGCAUGGCUGUCGUCAGCUCGUUCGC